This 216-nucleotide ribosomal RNA is filed under the name Glomeromycotina sp. RNAcentral describes it as "partial small subunit ribosomal RNA". The stretch from base 40 to 216 matches the Rfam family "Eukaryotic small subunit ribosomal RNA", at positions 686 to 864 of the family's 1831-position model. Lineage: Eukaryota; Fungi; Glomeromycota. The record is from RNAcentral.
GAGUCAGUAGGUUGGUCGUGCCACCGGUACGUACUGGUCUCACUGAUUCCUCCUUCCUGAAGAACCGUAAUGCCAUUAAUUUGGUGUUGCGGGGAAACAGGGCUGUUACUUUGAAAAAAUUAGAGUGUUUAAAGCAAGCUAACGCUUGAAUACAUUAGCAUGGAAUAAUGAAAUAGGACGAUCGAUCCUAUUUUGUUGGUUUCUAGGAUUGACGUA